RNA transcript from Varroa destructor (honeybee mite), 8920 nucleotides. It is a transcript of the gene named endoplasmic reticulum export factor secretory 16, with no coding region annotated. The record is from RefSeq and is a predicted model, not a curated record. NCBI's taxonomy places the organism in Eukaryota, Metazoa, Arthropoda, Arachnida, Mesostigmata, Varroidae.
UGUUGUUGUAACUAAAGUCGGAUUCAUUACAUUUCAGGAGUGAGCAGCGUCUACGACGAUCAUGUCUCACACGAUCUUACAGAGGAGGGGUCGUUAUCCCAAGGUGAGACCGGAAGGAACACUGAAGACGCAGGGAUCGUGGCAAGCUCAGGAUCUGUCCGUGCCUUCCCCGGUGGCCAGUCCGACAACGACUAUACAAUCAUCGGCUCAGCAUUCAGUGGCCUCGCAGCCCGAAGUCAGUUCCGUCCAUGAGUACCAGCAGCAACAGCAGCAGGUGCAACCACAGUACAACAACAGCAACAAUAUGAGUCCUUGUUUGUACAGCAACAACAACAAUAACAAUCCGAAUGUGAUUAAUCAUAACAGCAGCUCGAACAACAACAGCAAUACGACUGGCAACAGUAACCAUUAUUUGUACCAGACCAUGAGUGUGAACCACAAUAACAACAACACGAUAGCUUCGGCGACAGCAUCAGCUGCACAAAUGUACAGUAGCGGCGUCACUACCCACGAGCUGAGUAGUGACGUAGGCCAGAACAAUGGCAAUAGACAAGCGUCCACUGCUACAAUGAACGAUGAGUGGGAAGCCUGGGAAGAACAGGGCGAAGGUUGGAAAUGGGAUGAUACAGCUGGUGGAGACGCUUUCGGAAGAAACCUCAACAAUUCCGCUGGUGGCGAUCGUCACGCUUCGCUAGCACAGAACCAUCACCAACAACAGCAGCAUCAAGCGAAUAUGUCUUCUAUACAACAGAGUCAACUAUUGCAUAAUCAGUCUUCUGCAGCCGGAUACAGCCAGCAUCAUCACCAACUCUAUCAGAGCAAUUUUCAAAAUUCACAGCAACUACAGCAGUAUUCCCUACAACACGAAUACCAGCGUCAAAAUGUUUCGCAGCGUCAAACGCCUUCAUCACUGGAGGAACAUGAUCAUCCGCAGCAGCAACAAAUGUCGUAUGACAAUAACAUUCCCCUUCUUGGCGAUACGUUCAAUCAAAACUCUCAGGACGGCAAUUGGAACGACUGGGGAGACCAAGGCGGCUGGGGCAGUUGGGGUAACUCGGGAAGCAACCGGGCUACGCCACUAUCACAAGCGAACGCCCAGCUUCAACAUGAACAGCAGCCACAAUCAGGGGCAAGUAAUUACUACGAACAACAGCCCCAGCAACAACAGUAUUCCCAACAGUCCCAUCAACCACAUCUGAUCGGCCCUAGCUCUUACGUUCCCCCAACAACGAGCAGCUAUGGCCAAAACCAAACUCGGCCAGAAACACAGCAACAGCAGCAGCAUUCCGGGUUCGUUCAAAAUAGCGGAACCUGCGAUGUGUACCAGCAGCAACUAAACCAAUCACAGGACUACGCUUCGCAUGUGCAUGGACAGUCCUACUCUACUCAAAAUAGCUCUAUAGUGGGGCCACAGUAUUCCCAGAGCAGUGUCCAUGGUGGGCAAUAUUCUCAAAGCAGUACUCCUGGUGUGCAAUAUUCUCCGAGUGGCGCUCCUGGAGCGGUAGCGUAUUCUCAAACGAGUACCCCAGAACUUCAGUAUCCACAAAGUAGCACACCCCAUCCUCCUCAGCAGUGUACCGUGACUGACAGCGUUGUUGUUCAAAAUGAACCGCAACAACAACAACAGCAGCAGCAGUACGCACUACAGGCAGCGGAAUCGCAUCAAUAUCCUGUAAAGCAAAGUGGCGAUACGACCAUGCCGCCUAUAGCCGAACGCCGUGCAUCGGAAAGCAGUAUAGCUGCAUCGGUGACUAGCUCCCAUGAACAGCAACAGCAACAAAAGCAGCAGCAGCAGCAAGAAAUUCCCAGCUUCACACAAGAACCGUAUAGCCCCCAAAUAAUUCAAGACGUGCAGUCUUACCAGGGCAAUAGCAAAGAUCAGACCACUUCAUACAGUCAGGAGCAAUCGGAACGACAUCUACUGCAGCAAAAGUAUCAAUCUACGACGCAUUUGCCGCAGCAGGAAUACAAUGUGUAUGAAGCGUGUAUCCAAACUUUACAGGUAAUCACUAACGAGGGGCAACAGAGUACUAAUGCCUCGUUUUCAGUAUCAGGAAGAACAGGUGAUGCGUCAGCCGAAAUGGAGAACAUCCCGCUUACACAGACUGAUAAAACGUUAGAAUCCUCCAACAAAGGUGGGCCGUCAGAUUUCGAGCUGGAGGACGAUUUUCGUGCUAUGAGUUACAAACAGGUUGAAGAUCAUAAUAGCAAUUACGUCAACGAGUCUAUAUCUGAGGAGUGGGACACGCUCGAGGACAAACUAGAAGCACUUUCGAUAAGAGAAAACGAACCUGGGGUAAGCAAUGUUCCACAACCGCAAUCGGCUGCGGUCACGACGGCAGUUGACCAACAGCAAGCAUCCUUGGAAGAUGGAAGCCGGGUAUCAUCGGAAGAACAAAACAGUGUGACCGAUAAGGACGUUGCAUCGGGAACGUUGGCUGGAGGUCUCCCUUCGAUGAGUGAGAUACUUCAAGCUAAGCACAAUAUUCACCAUCAGGAAGAACAAAAAACGGAUCCGUCGGAAGAGCCUCACAUUGAUCACCAAGGAGCUACUAAUGCACGCGAUAAUUUCAUUCCGGCGGAGGCUCAUGACUUCUCAGUAUCUGGACAGCAUUCUUCUGCAGACUUACUUUCACAUGCUCCUAAUGAGUUCCCAGAAAUGAACGUUGUACACAGAUCCGAUGCAGCUGGUGGCGAUGAGAGAACUACUUACUUUGCGGGUAUCGAAUUCGUUAGGCCUCUAUCCGAUGGGGCACCUGCAGAACCGCCAGCCUUCCAGCGAAUGCCUUACCUUGGGGGCCCGUCGUCACACACGGCGUCAGCAAUGACCAUCGGAGGAUCCGAAACGCAAGCUAUUUCCGAAGUAGGAAAUUCGCGGGCAACUUCGGAGCCAGAAUCGCGUGAACCUUCAGUCGUUCGUGAGGUCAUUGGACAGCGAGCGUCGGCCGAGAGAAGCGCGCCAGCCGGAAGUUUGAGUGUUGCAGAGGUGCGGCAAAGUCCACUAGGGGGCGAAGGAGCAGAUAUGGGCGAUCAACGGGACAACAUUAUGACUUCAGUCAACCGACAGACGAACCUAACCCCUAAUGUAAGUGCAAGAGAUGACGUGGUAGGAGCUCGAAGAAUUCAGACUGAAAAUCAAUCAGAUCAAGAGGAGGUCGACACUACGCGGGGUCUUGAGAGGACUGAGCCAUCCGGAUCGGGGCAGCCAUCGCUAAGCGAAAUGCAGGCCAGUAGAGCCGCAGAAGCUGUGCGAGACGAGAGCCGGCCACGAAGCCGCCGAUCGGGAAGGGAAUCCACCUCAUCAUCAGACGAUAGCGAGGUGGCUGAACACAACCGUGAGGUGUUACAACAAAAAGUCAAGGCUCGGGAACGGGAGCUGCCUUCACGGAUCAGAGACAUUUCUUCGUGCAGACGGAGGGACCAUCGCGACAUGCGCCGAGAUGACUGGGAUAGAGAGGACCGUGAACGAGAGCGAGAGCAUGAAAGACGCAAAGAAAUUGCAUAUUACUCCGACGAAAGCGAAGUUCGCCGACAUCGAAAACACCGUGAGAGUGAGCGACGAGGCCGUGAAAGCGAGGGAGAGCGGAAUCGCCGAAAGUAUGCUAGCGAUCGAGAUUAUGACGAGGAUUACGAUCCCUAUUAUGACGCAAGGAAUCGACGUCGCGGUGACGAGCGACGUCGUCGAGACUCGGACGAAACGGAAUAUUCGGAGUUUUCGAGCGUAAAUCCAGGCAAAUACGCAAGUAGUACACACAGUGGGAAGUACCGAAGCGAGGAUGAGGAAUCAGCAAGGUACCGAAGCCGAAAGAGCGGCGAUUCUAGACGUAGGAAUGAUCGAGGUUACACCGAAGACGAGACCGAUCUUGACUAUCGCAGAAGAACCGGCGGUGGCCGAAGGGGCUGCAAUGAACUUAGAGACUAUUAUCGGCGAGACGGCAGACGACUCGACCAUGGCAGGGACUAUGGUGGCGGUUACGACUCGCGUCCCCUUAGCCGCGGUUCAUCCAUAACGGAAAGCUUCGUCAGCUCGCAUAUGGUGUCCGAUAGCGAGCUGUCGAUUAUUGAUCAUCGUUAUAACCGUAACCGAAGGGACGAUCAUUAUGAUCGCCAUCCCGCCAUGGGCCGGGUAGCCGGUCAUUUAGGCCGCGGCGGCCCAGGAACGGGAUAUCAGGCAGCCAAUGCUCACAAGCUUGCGCAUCUCUCGGCUAUCGGCGGACGAAACAUUACGAAUCAGGGCAUGGCGUCUAUGAUGAAUACGUCGAUGAAUCUGUCGACUAGCCAGCAACUAUUACACGCGGCUUCGGCUGGUGGAACACACGCAACGAUGGGCGGUGCCAGUAUGCUUAGUGCUCUAACGAACGGCCAAGACCUUGAAUACGUAAAGCAAGCGUACGAGACCGAUCCAGAUUAUCGCUACGUGCUAGACGACUACUUCGCGAGGUGCGCAGACCAGGGCUAUGAUAUGAGGGAAGUUCAGGCGUACAUCUGUGGCGGUGGCGUCGUCAAAGCCACUCGGGGACAAGUCCAGCUAAACGACAGCCUGGCAUCAAGCUCUUUUGGCGAUACCACCCGCCUCGACGGCAAUCUACUAAUGACAGCAGAACCAGCGAUUCCCCAGGAGUUAAAAAAAUUCACUAGGCCACAUGUCUUUGCUCGUUUUGUGUCGUUGACCACGCUGGUUAAAAUUCAUCCGUCGACGCUAGCAGUUGAUAGUAAACCGCCGCAGUUGGAGCUACAUGACCUGAAGCUGAUUCUGGAAGGAGAAUCGGACAGUAAGGAAUUGGGGAAAUUUCCAGGCCCCCUGGUCCGUGCCGAAACUCACAAGAACCAUGUGAUCCACUUUUGCAAUCAACGUAUCAACGCCGUUCGAAGGAACAAGCUGCCCAUGCUUAAUGGUCAGUUUAUAGUAGACCGUGAAUCCUACGUUCUUUUAUGGGAAUUACUUGUGCUACUUUUGCGUCAAAAUGGCCAUGUGACAGGCACGGAUAUUGCGGAACUUCUACUCAAGGAUGCCCCUUACGUGGACCCAGCAUCCGUUCAGCGGCUGGCAGAGGAAGACAUGUCGCAGGUGGAGAAUAGCGACGAAGCUGCCAAUUCUGAUGCUAGUCAGACGACCCUGGAGAGUACAAGGUUGAAUCGUCGUGCAUUGCAACAGAGACGCAGCGGUGGUCUAAGUCCCGAACAGGCGUUAGGCAAGUUCCGUGAGCUUCUGCUGUUUGGUCAUCGGCGUGAGGCGGUUGAGCAUGCCGUACGCUACGAGCUGUGGGGUCAUGCUUUCUGUCUGGCAUCGAAACUUGACAUGAAAAUGUACACCCAUGUACAUACGAAAUUCUAUCAGUCGAUGGCUGGUAACGAUCCCCUGCAAACAGUCUAUCAACUUUACUCGGGACGUCAGCCAUCGUCGGUGAGUUGCGUCAGCGACAUCGCUUGGGGUGAUUGGCGACCUCACCUUGCUAUGAUCCUUUCGAAUCCGUCGAUAAAGCCAGAAAAUGACGCGCGCUCAAUUAUAAUGAUGGGUGACGUGCUCCUUUCACGUGGCUGUCUUUGUGCCGCACACUUCUGUUAUCUAAUGGCACAAGUAGACUUUGGCGAAUUCUGCGAUAAAUCGUGCAAGCUCGUUCUGCUUGGCUCAAGCCAUUUGCAGACGAAUUUUAGCUCGUUCGCAACAAACGAAGCGAUCAUGUGCACGGAAAUAUAUGAGUACGCUCAGUCUCUUAGCAAUCCCGGCUACGCUCUACCUUCGCUGGCUUCUUAUAAGUUCCUUCACGCGAAACGUCUUAUCGCGCUGGGCUUCGUUCAGGAAGCAUUAGCGUACUGCGAACGUCUGGCACAUGACUUUGUUCAUCAUCCUACCGCUUACAAACCGCAACUCGUACAUGAGGUGUACAGUCUUGGCUCAAAGCUCAAAUUCAACGAUGUUCACUACAGUCAGGGAUCAGGGGAAUAUGAGGAGUUAGGUGAUCCCGAAUGGUUGCUUCGACUUGAACAACUCUGCAAUGCGAUCCGUAACGGGGACGUUUUUGAAGCAUCGACACCCGCCCAUUCGCAAUCGGAUCGGACCCAUGUUGCAGCCGAACCACAAGGCGGUACCGGUCUCUCACUGGGCGGCACUGGAGUGGCGGGACUACCCGGGGAAAAAGCGGAUAUAACAGCUCAGCAGGCCCAUUAUAACAACCCAGCAUACAAUAAUAAUAAUCUUUAUGGGGCUCAAUACCAGGACCACCUAGCAUCUCAGCAGCAGCAACAUUCUCAUUCACAGCUGUACAGAACACAGCAGGCUCAGACAACAUCAUCGACGAUUUCUGGCAGCUAUCAAACUCAUUCUUACGAGACUUCGGCGCUCAACGCGAAGGCGGUCGAAAGCCACACUGAAGUGAAGCAGCUGCCCACAGAGGUUGAUGGUGCCGGAAGCGUUGCUCACGCGCAACAGCCGCAGCUGUAUGACUAUUACCAGCAGGCGCAAGGGACUCAACAACUGCAGCAUCGAACAGCGUUGCCGUAUUCAAGAAACGGCUCUGUAGAUCACGACAUAGGCACGGAAGGGUUUACCGAAGGAUAUCCUGCCUCUCCACAAACCUGUGGAUACGACCAGUCGCAGCCUGCGCCAGUGCAGCAGGUGCCAACAGUGCCGUCAAGCCAAUCCAUGCAUCAACCUGCGGCAGGUCCGGACUGUUACAACAACCAAAGUACCAAGCAUCGACCCCGUAUUGACUCCUCGUCUAGUUCGAUAACGAACACUUCAAUUACCACAUCUGGGGACCCAACUGACUCACGAAGAGACAGUGAGGUGAGGCAGCAGCAGCAGCUUCCUCAGAUAGCGAGCCCGGGGUCUCUCCAGGCGGCUGCGACCCACGGUCAUAAAGCACCACUUGCUCACGACGGGGCAGCUCCCGUACAGCAGCAACAGUCAACGAAGAAGUCAACUCCAACUUCACAGGCGGGCCGCAGCUGGCUGGGAGGGAUUUUCGGGAAAUUCCUUCCCCGAGGACCAAAUCAGAUGAUUCUACCAGAAGACAAGGACCAGUCGAUCAUCUGGGAUCCCGACCAAAAGCGCUGGGUUGAUAAGAACGCUGAUUCCACGUCGUCGGACGCUACACCCAUGGCGCCUCCUAGCGAUGCCAUCCUCGGCGCAGGCCCAUCUAUUGUUCCGAAGAUUCCCACGGGAGUUCCUGGAGCGCCAGCCGCGCAACAGUCGCAGCAGCAACAGAUAAUGCAAACUCCAAUUCAGCAAGGAGGAGAUGUCCAUGCCGCCCAAUCCGUGCCUCUAAUGAGUCCCCAGGGGCAGAACAUGUUAGCACAGCCAAAUGGCGCUUUGAACAAAUACCAGCGAAGCAAGGGCAAACCGCGGUACGUGGAUGUUCUGAAGCAAAGCAGCCAAACGGUUUCUCCGGACAUUCAGAUGUCGCCUCCCUCGACAAACCCCAUGGUGUCGAUGAACGCUGGCGGGCCUCCAAGUGUGCCGAACUUUUUCGUGCCCGCAGCACCAUCUGGCCCUCAAGCAGAACCAUUCGACCUAAUGAGCCAUCGAGCUGACUACGAAGAUUACGGCGGCUCUGCUGGAGCUGGCGGAAUUCAUGCUAAUUCCCAACAACAACCGGCAAACUGAGCACAAACACACAAAGGUUCGAGGAGAUAGAAGCAUUGGACUCGGCAAACAUAACGUUUCGUGGUCUACUCGAUCAGCUAGCGAAACAAAGACUAAGACAAGGCUGUCUAGAAACCUUUUCUACACGAUUCCACGGAUAUAACACAUUUAGAUGAUCCGGAACCCCUCCGAAUGAAGCGUCUCGCAGCGACAGAUAGGAUGAACGCAGUUGGACACCCGAAGUGUGAUGAUUGAUGAUGAUCAUGAUAACGUUUCGUAGAUUAUAGAUGAUCUACGAAAUGUUUUCAUAACGAGCUGCAUCCGUCAACAAUAUAUAUAUAUCGUAGGUAUAUCAAAAUAAUUGUGAAUGGUAUAUAGGAUAUUUCUACAUAUUCGUACCGCAGCAUUGAUGAAUGUAUUGUCAAGUAGAAAUAAAAUUAUUUUCGAACAAAAAAAAAAGCACAACAGAAAGCAAACAAUAACAACGAUAACGCACCGGUGCAAGCAAGCAGUACGUGAACGGAACUAGUAAAGUUAUCGUAAGGGGCAUAAACAAUGCGAAUAGCGAGAUACCUCGUGUGCGGAGCGAUUUAAAUUCGGUACUGAUUCUUUAUAUGGUUAUCUACUGAUCUAAGACAGGGCCACUACUAGCAAGACAAGAUUGAAGUGGGUGAUGUUUCGAGCUAGCGAUUAUUCGACGAAUAGAAAAACGGAAAAGACUAUUAUGCCAUUCACUUCAAUCACCUCGCGCUGUAGAAUAUAAUUACUAUGAAAAUCUAGCGUCAAACUAGAAAGAUCGUACUUUUGAGCAAAAUGAAAAGUUCGUAACACACAAAAUAGACCAACAGAACAAGCCUAAUAUAACAACACAGCGAUGCUGAAAAAGGAUUUAUUUGUCGGCAAAUGUGGAGAUUCACACCAACUGUAAGCGAAACGGCGGAAUAGCGGGGAGCAUCAAGAUAACGGGACCAAUAUGUUAAGCUAGAGGGCCCGUGCACUUGGGCAAAGAGUACCAUCAACGUACAGAUGAUUAUAUCAUCGUCAACGUGGGAAGGCGUUUCGGAAGUGUCUUACUUGUGGGAAUAAAUAGCGCGAAUCGAACGCGCCGUAAUGUAUUCCGCAAGCGUUGUCCGUUCGUUGUCUGAUGCCUUUCUCUGCACUGAAGAAUGUCGAACUCAAUUACGUUGAACUUGACAAUUUAAAUGAGAUCCACCUGCAAAAAAUGACUUGGUGCGACGGCGUAGUCAACUUACACACCGGGCGUACAGAUAAAACACAGAAAAAAAAGCGAAUAUUUUAAAAGUGGAAAUAAAACACCACAAUGUACUAAUAUAA